CNACGCUGGCGGCUGCCUAAUACAUGCAAGUCGAGCGGACUUGAAGAGAAGCUUGCUUCUCCGAUGGUUAGCGGCGGACGGGUGAGUAACACGUAGGCAACCUGCCCUCAAGNUUGGGACAACUACCGGAAACGGUAGCUAAUACCGAAUAGUUGUUUUCUUCUCCUGAAGNAAACUGGAAAGACGGAGCAAUCUGUCACUUGGGGAUGGGCCUGCGGCGCAUUAGCUAGUUGGUGGGGUAACGGCUCACCAAGGCGACGAUGCGUAGCCGACCUGAGAGGGUGAUCGGCCACACUGGGACUGAGACACGGCCCAGACUCCUACGGGAGGCAGCAGUAGGGAAUCUUCCGCAAUGGGCGAAAGCCUGACGGAGCAAUGCCGCGUGAGUGAUGAAGGUUUUCGGAUCGUAAAGCUCUGUUGCCAGGGAAGAACGCUUGGGAGAGUAACUGCUCUCAAGGUGACGGUACCUGAGAAGAAAGCCCCGGCUAACUACGUGCCAGCAGCCGCGGUAAUACGUAGGGGGCAAGCGUUGUCCGGAAUUAUUGGGCGUAAAGCGCGCGCAGGCGGUCAUUUAAGUCUGGUGUUUAAUCCCGGGGCUCAACCCCGGAUCGCACUGGAAACUGGGNUGACUUGAGUGCAGAAGAGGAGAGUGGAAUUCCACGUGUAGCGGUGAAAUGCGUAGAANUUUUGGNNGNACCCCCNGUGGCNAAAGGCGACUCUCUGGGCUGNAACUGACGCUG
This 740-nucleotide ribosomal RNA is filed under the name Paenibacillus sp. TR-3. RNAcentral describes it as "bacterial SSU rRNA". It matches the Rfam family "Bacterial small subunit ribosomal RNA", at positions 31 to 748 of the family's 1533-position model. Lineage: Bacteria; Bacillati; Bacillota; Bacilli; Caryophanales; Paenibacillaceae. The record is from RNAcentral.